GAGUGUGAAGGCCAUCUGGCUGCAAUAACUGUCAGCCCAUUAAUCACCAGGGUUGAUUGAGCUGAUCUGGCUGGGCGGGGGCCGCCUUCCUCCCUCUCUGCUCCAUGUGCGUCCCUCCAAAAGCUGCAAGCUUGGCAGCAGAGGAUGACCUUCCUCAAUAGAGGAGCACUCUUUGGUCAGGGUGUACAAGCAGCUGUGCUCCCCUGCUAGAACUUCCAAGCAAGCUUCAAGGUUCAAAUAAAAUGUUUUUAAAGUGUAAUGUUUAACCAGAAAACCUGAACAUUUCCACACAGAGAUUUCA
This is a non-coding RNA of Otolemur garnettii (small-eared galago), 301 nucleotides long. The record is from Rfam. Lineage: Eukaryota; Metazoa; Chordata; Mammalia; Primates; Galagidae.